UACGGAGGGUGCAAGCGUUAUCCGGAUUCACUGGGUUUAAAGGGCGCGUAGGCGGGCUAAUAAGUCAGUGGUGAAAGCUCCCGGCCCAACCGGGAAAUUGCCAUUGAUACUGUUAGCCUUGAGUGCAGUUGAGGUGGGCGGAAUACAGCAUGUAGCGGUGAAAUGCUUAGAUAUGCUGUAGAACACCGAUUGCGAAGGCAGCUCACUAAACUGUAACUGACGCUGAGGCACGAAAGCGUGGGGAUCGAACAGG
Molecule: ribosomal RNA, 253 nt
Filed under: uncultured bacterium
Lineage: Bacteria
Description: partial 16S ribosomal RNA
Rfam family: Bacterial small subunit ribosomal RNA
Source: RNAcentral